CCUACGGGAGACAGCAGUGGGGAAUAUUGCACAAUGGGCGAAAGCCUGAUGCAGCAACGCCGCGUGAGCGAUGAAGGCCUUCGGGUCGUAAAGCUCUGUCCUCAAGGAAGAUAAUGACGGUACUUGAGGAGGAAGCCCCGGCUAACUACGUGCCAGCAGCCGCGGUAAUACGUAGGGGGCUAGCGUUAUCCGGAAUUACUGGGCGAAAAGGGUGCGUAGGUGGUUUCUAAAGUCAGAGGUGAAAGGCUACGGUUCAACCGUAGUAAGCCUUUGAAAGUGGGAAACUUGAGUGCAGGAGAGGUGAGUGGAAUUCCCGGUGUAGCGGUGAAAUGCGUAGAUAUUAGGAGGAACACCAGUGGCGAAGGCGGCUCUCUGGACUGUAAAUGACACUGAGGCACGAAAGCGUGGGGAGCAAACAGGAUUUGAUACCCUAGUAGUC
Molecule: ribosomal RNA, 439 nt
Filed under: uncultured bacterium
Lineage: Bacteria
Description: partial 16S ribosomal RNA
Rfam family: Bacterial small subunit ribosomal RNA
Source: RNAcentral